CAAGCAUAGGGGUUGGGUGUGUGGCUUGCCUGUCUGACUUAUUUCACUGUGGGGCACCUGCAGGCCUGUACGGAGAUCAAUCUGACCUUUGACAGCAACAACGUGACAGACAUGUUCCCUGAAAUCCCUUUCUCUGAUGAACUCCGCCAGCAAUACUGCCUGGAUACAUGGGGCGUGUGGCCUCGGCCAGACUGGCUGCAGACCAGCUUCUGGGGUGGCGGUAAAGGGCUGGGCUGGUGACUGGGAGCCGGGUGCUGGGAAGGACCCUGCCCUCUGUCCUGAGCUGCUUCUGUCGGAUACCUCACCACCACUUGCUGUGUUCCUUUU
This 327-nucleotide long non-coding RNA is filed under the name Rattus norvegicus (Norway rat). RNAcentral's name for it is "long non-coding RNA NONRATT019033". The record is from RNAcentral. Lineage: Eukaryota; Metazoa; Chordata; Mammalia; Rodentia; Muridae.